This is a non-coding RNA of Cajanus cajan (pigeon pea), 941 nucleotides long. Lineage: Eukaryota; Viridiplantae; Streptophyta; Magnoliopsida; Fabales; Fabaceae. The record is from RefSeq and is a predicted model, not a curated record.
CCCCAACACCCCCACACCCCACUUUCAACAAGAGACAUGCACUUAGGGGAAUGUACCAUCUCGACUUUGGUAGGUUUUCCAAACCCAAAAUCAGUCUCAUAAACAGUGAAGUUAGGUGACCCUGUAACUAGUACCGUAUUUCCCAAUACAGAUAUUUUCCUCAAUAAUGCCCUCCAAUUUUCUGCACCUUUAAGAGGUUCAGUUUUCAUAUCAGUUAUUGCUCUUGCAAUAGCCUUCACCGCCUUCAAAAAACCACCUUCUCCCUUGAGCUCCUCUUGAGCACUGCAUAACAUUUUGUUAAGCAAUUUCCGAAGUACGUUGCCGGUACAGGGUACUUAAAGCGAUCUCUACAAUCUGCUGCAAAACGAAAGUAUAGACAUAAUCCACUUACAUUAUGGAACCACUUGGUAUCUCUUAGACAAGACAUAAGUGUCCCUUGGAUGCUUUUUGGAGAUUUCAAUGAAACUUCUAACUCCUCUGAGGUUAAGGGUGGAUGUUUCUCUAUCACAGAGACCUUACAUUUUAAUGAGAUGAUUGAAAGUUGUCAAUUGAUUGACUUGGGCAAUUGGUAACAAGUUUACCUGGUUGUGUUGUAGUAAAGGUGUCCGCAUAACAAAAAGACUUGACAAAGUGCUUGCUGAUAACAACUGGCGUAUCAUGUUCCCUUAAGCUUUUGUUGAAAAUUUAUCUCGUGUAUAUUCUGAUAACUGUCAAUUACUUAUUUGUGUGAAGGGAUAUUUUUGAGAUAUUGUCCGCUUUCAGUCUAAACUCUCAUGGUUUUGAUUUUGGUCAUCACCUAAAAAGAUUCUCUUACAUUGGAGUAUGUGUAUGCUUUAUAAGUUGUUAUUUUUUUCUCUUAUUUUAUCAAUGUUGGACUUGUUUGUAUCUCAACAAUCCUUUCUUUUGGACCUAAGUUCUCACGAUUUUAUUUUUUAUCAUUA